UACAGAGGGUGCAAGCGUUGUUCGGAAUUACUGGGCGUAAAGCGUGCGUAGGUGGUUAUGUAAGUCGGGUGUGAAAGCCCCGGGCUCAACCUGGGAAUUGCAUUCGAGACUGCGUAGCUAGGGUGCGGAAGAGGGAAGCGGAAUUUCCGGUGUAGCGGUGAAAUGCGUAGAUAUCGGAAGGAACACCAGUGGCGAAAGCGGCUUCCUGGUCCAGCACCGACAUUCAGGCACGAAAGCGUGGGGAGCAAACAGG
RNAcentral lists this ribosomal RNA (253 nucleotides) under uncultured bacterium. Its description in RNAcentral is "partial 16S ribosomal RNA". It matches the Rfam family "Bacterial small subunit ribosomal RNA", at positions 524 to 776 of the family's 1533-position model. The record is from RNAcentral.